GCUGUGCCCGUGUUCCAUGUGGAACUGCCAGGGCCCGGCGACGAGCACAACGCAGCCAUUCCCCUGCUGACAGCGAUCUGUGAGCAGCUCCCAGCGCACCCUCGACAGGUGAUUCCCAAAAGACUUGUCAGUCCUGGACUCAACCUACUGUCUGGAGCUCUGCAGCCAUCCCAGCAGGAUGGGCAACCUCCUCCCAGUCAAGACUGCUGGAGAUACUGAGGAAGAGAUGGACGUGGACGUUGUGGUGGAUACCGAGGAGAUGAUGGAGGUGGACGUCCAAGAGUUUGAUGAAGAGAUGGAGGUCGAUGUGGUGGAGGAGAUCGAAGAGAUGGAUAUCGACCAGUAAGAUGAGGAGGAGGACAUGGUGCUGGGAUGAGGACAGUCCCCCAGCAGCACGACAGGACUGACGGACCUGCCGGCCAUGGCAUCGGCCAUGCUGUACAUAUGUUUUUCACUUUUUUCUGUAAAUAUGUUCUAUAUUAUUCACUUUUUAAGAA
Pseudopipra pipra is the source of this 497-nucleotide long non-coding RNA. RefSeq lists it as uncharacterized. NCBI's taxonomy places the organism in Eukaryota, Metazoa, Chordata, Aves, Passeriformes, Pipridae. The transcript has 3 exons. The record is from RefSeq and is a predicted model, not a curated record.